RNAcentral lists this unclassified non-coding RNA (547 nucleotides) under Hevea brasiliensis (rubber tree). Lineage: Eukaryota; Viridiplantae; Streptophyta; Magnoliopsida; Malpighiales; Euphorbiaceae. The record is from RNAcentral.
CUUGAAAAAUUUAGUUGUCCUUUUUGGGUUUUGAUUUGGGGUUUAAUCUUGGAAAUUUUAUUUUAUCUUUUUUUUUUUUUCAUGAACAAUUGGGGUUUCCACUUCUGUUCUUGAUUGAAUGGAAUAAUAUGGAGCUUUGAAUUGUCUGAAAUAGGGGAAGAAAAUUGGAAUUUGAGUUUUGAGGCAACAGCCAUUUCUUUCGAUGGAAUUGGGAUUAAGAAGCAAGGAGGACAGUUUCUCUACUUUUUUCCAAUAGAAGGCUCUUCAGUGUAGUAGUUUUUGCAAGGAUUUUGCCUUGUAUUGAUAGUGAAAAUUAAGCGUUUGCUUGGUCAAGGUCAACUUUUUUUUUCUUUUGUGCUGGUGUGCUUGUAUAGUUAGUAAAUAUGGAAAAGGAGAUGGUACAUGUAGAAGGGACCAAUAAGUGUGUGGGUGAUGACGUUAACCCUGAAGACUCCUUUUGUCCUGAAAUGGAAAUUGAAGAGAAUGGGAGUCCUAAGAAUGAAAUUCAACGGUUGACUUCAGAAAAAGGUGAGGGAAGUAAUGUGGU